RNAcentral lists this ribosomal RNA (429 nucleotides) under Chloroflexota bacterium. RNAcentral describes it as "Chloroflexi bacterium partial 16S ribosomal RNA". It matches the Rfam family "Bacterial small subunit ribosomal RNA", at positions 355 to 776 of the family's 1533-position model. Lineage: Bacteria; Bacillati; Chloroflexota. The record is from RNAcentral.
UGGGGAAUAUUGCACAAUGGGCGCAAGCCUGAUGCAGCCAUGCCGCGUGUGUGAAGAAGGCCUUCGGGUUGUAAAGCACUUUCAGCGGGGAGGAAGGCGGUGAGGUUAAUAACCCCACCGAUUGACGUUACCCGCAGAAGAAGCACCGGCUAACUCCGUGCCAGCAGCCGCGGUAAUACGGAGGGUGCAAGCGUUAAUCGGAAUUACUGGGCGUAAAGCGCACGCAGGCGGUCUGUCAAGUCGGAUGUGAAAUCCCCGGGCUCAACCUGGGAACUGCAUUCGAAACUGGCAGGCUAGAGUCUUGUAGAGGGGGGUAGAAUUCCAGGUGUAGCGGUGAAAUGCGUAGAGAUCUGGAGGAAUACCGGUGGCGAAGGCGGCCCCCUGGACAAAGACUGACGCUCAGGUGCGAAAGCGUGGGGAGCAAACAGG